UGCGUAGGUGGCGCCGUAAGUCAGGUGUGAAAUUUCGGAGCUUAACUCCGAAACUGCAUUUGAUACUGCGGUGCUUGAGGACUGGAGAGGAGACUGGAAUUCACGGUGUAGCAGUGAAAUGCGUAGAUAUCGUGAGGAAGACCAGUGGCGAAGGCGGGUCUCUGGACAGUUCCUGACACUGAGGCACAAGGGCCAGGGGAGGCAAACG
Molecule: ribosomal RNA, 208 nt
Filed under: uncultured bacterium
Lineage: Bacteria
Description: partial 16S ribosomal RNA
Rfam family: Bacterial small subunit ribosomal RNA
Source: RNAcentral